GUUAUCUUAAUUUAAGUAGAAUAUCCGCUUUGCAUGCGGAUCGUGGAGUAGAAACUUCAGAUAACA
RNAcentral lists this transfer RNA (66 nucleotides) under Lepidonotus sp. YZ-2018. RNAcentral describes it as "tRNA-Ala". The record is from RNAcentral. Lineage: Eukaryota; Metazoa; Annelida; Polychaeta; Phyllodocida; Polynoidae.